GGCAUUUGUAUUUGGCCAUCUUGGCUGAUGUGGCAACUUGGUUUAGGAGGGAAAUCACACAAAUUCACAAUGGACACGGGAUCCAGAAAGCAUCGGGUCGGACUUUUGGAUUUGGAUCAAUCAUGAUGGAUCCUUUAUAUAUGUCUUUUUUUCUAAUUCUUCUUCCAUACUCUUCAACAAUCUUCACAACCCUAAAACCAAACCCUAGAUCAACUCAACCUUUCUGGACGUCACAGCGAUUUCUCAUCUCUCUAAUCAGAUCUUCUUCCGCUAUUGAAGAUCUUAUCAAAGAAAUUAAAGAUCUGAUUUCGGACUCCGAUAAUUCGUCAAUCAAAAGAGGUUAGUUAAGUGUUAUAGUUAUUUUAUCUUUUUUAAGUAUGUAAUAUGUAAUUUUAUCCUUUAUGUUCAUUAUUUUUUUACCUAUUAAUAUAUGUUCUGAAUGAUUUAUGGUUUGUAUUUUCUCAUGGUGAACCCUCAAUCUUUUUUGAAAUUCGGACUCGGAUUGUUAGUCUACCAAAAUAAGUUAUGUUGUUCUGAAUUUUGUAGAUCCGAUCAUAAAAUUGAAGGUAUGUUGUUUUAGUUUGUUGUUUAUCUACCGUGCAUCUUUAAUCUAAGCGAUUGAACAUUUAUAUUUUUUUUGCAAACAAUAUCAAGAUCAGAGGUUUUGUUAUCAUCAUCUACAUUCUCUGAUUUAUGUAGUGUCUAUGAACGUUAAUCAUGUCUUGGACAUUUAUCAAACUUACUGAUUUUUGUUUAUUUUGAUUUUCAUGUGAAUCCCUAAAUCUUGGAUAACAAUCGGACUCCGAUCAUUCAACAAGCAACAGAGUUCGUCGACCAAAACAGGAAAUACCGUAUGAUGAGCCAGCUUAUUGUGGGAAGGAAAAGUUCCAUAUGCUCAAUGUAUUGAACUUAUUGAUGAUGACUUAUGCAACUGCAGGAGUCUGAAUCUUCUUCGAACACAAGAGUUAUGGAUCCUAAAAACAACGCUCCAAUCGUUUUUAAAGUUGAUUGAUGACUAUCAUCCUAUAUUUUUGGAAAUACCGUAUAAUGAGCGACCUUAUUGUGGGAAAGAAAAGUUCCAUAUGGCCAAUGUCUUGAAAUUAUUGAUGAUGACUUAUGCAACUGCAGGAGUCUGAAUCUUCUUCGAACACAAGAC
This is a long non-coding RNA of Helianthus annuus (common sunflower), 1156 nucleotides long. RefSeq lists it as uncharacterized. The transcript has 7 exons. The record is from RefSeq and is a predicted model, not a curated record. NCBI's taxonomy places the organism in Eukaryota, Viridiplantae, Streptophyta, Magnoliopsida, Asterales, Asteraceae.